GAUGAACGCUGGCGGCGUGCCUAAUACAUGCAAGUCGAGCGAACGGACGAGAAGCUUGCUUCUCUGAUGUUAGCGGCGGACGGGUGAGUAACACGUGGAUAACCUACCUAUAAGACUGGGAUAACUUCGGGAAACCGGAGCUAAUACCGGAUAAUAUUUUGAACCGCAUGGUUCAAAAGUGAAAGACGGUCUUGCUGCCACUUAUAGAUGGAUCCGCGCUGCAUUAGCUAGUUGGUAAGGUAACGGCUUACCAAGGCAACGAUGCAUAGCCGACCUGAGAGGGUGAUCGGCCACACUGGAACUGAGACACGGUCCAGACUCCUACGGGAGGCAGCAGUAGGGAAUCUUCCGCAAUGGGCGAAAGCCUGACGGAGCAACGCCGCGUGAGUGAUGAAGGUCUUCAGAUCGUAAAACUCUGUUAUUAGGGAAGAACAUAUGUGUAAGUAACUGUGCACAUCUUGACGGUACCUAAUCAGAAAGCCACGGCUAACUACGUG
Molecule: ribosomal RNA, 497 nt
Filed under: uncultured bacterium
Lineage: Bacteria
Description: partial 16S ribosomal RNA
Rfam family: Bacterial small subunit ribosomal RNA
Source: RNAcentral